Molecule: transfer RNA, 84 nt
Filed under: Acinetobacter baumannii
Lineage: Bacteria; Pseudomonadati; Pseudomonadota; Gammaproteobacteria; Moraxellales; Moraxellaceae
Description: tRNA-Trp
Rfam family: tRNA
About the family: Transfer RNA (tRNA) molecules are approximately 80 nucleotides in length.
Source: RNAcentral
AGAGGAUUGGUGUAAUGGUAGCAUGACGGUCUCCAAAACCGNNCAAAACCGUUCGUCAAGGUUCGAGUCCUUGAUCCUCUGCCA